UACAGAGGUCUCAAGCGUUGUUCGGAUUCAUUGGGCGUAAAGGGUGCGUAGGUGGCGCGAUAAGUCGGGUGUGAAAUCUCGGAGCUUAACUCCGAAAUUGCAUUCGAUACUGCCGUGCUCGAGGACUGGAGAGGAGACUGGAAUUCAUGGUGUAGCAGUGAAAUGCGUAGAGAUCAUGAGGAAGACCAGUGGCGAAGGCGGGUCUCUGGGCCGAUACUGACGCUGAGGAGCGAAAGCGUGGGGAGCGAACAGG
Molecule: ribosomal RNA, 253 nt
Filed under: uncultured bacterium
Lineage: Bacteria
Description: partial 16S ribosomal RNA
Rfam family: Bacterial small subunit ribosomal RNA
Source: RNAcentral